RNAcentral lists this long non-coding RNA (4718 nucleotides) under Heterocephalus glaber (naked mole-rat). Its description in RNAcentral is "lncRNA (ENSHGLG00100052349.1)". The stretch from base 3422 to 3488 matches the Rfam family "mir-8/mir-141/mir-200 microRNA precursor family". The record is from RNAcentral. Lineage: Eukaryota; Metazoa; Chordata; Mammalia; Rodentia; Bathyergidae.
CAGGGAAGCUCAGCUUGGCUGAAGCUGGAGCAGCGGGGGCCGCAAUGACCAACCAGCCACUCAGCAGCCAGCACAGCCUGCGUCCAGUGAGGUCUGGUGUUGGCAGGUGCAGAGUGUGCAGGCCUUCCUUUCCUAGGAGAAGGUGGGUCCCUCGGCCACGACGUGGCUGGGUCUCAGCGCGGAGCCAUCUUGGGCCUGGCCUGGGAGCUGCCGGGUCCACAGGCUGCAUCUUCAAGCCAGGCAGAUUCAGGCUCCCAGAGGGGUCCCAUCCGUUGUCCACCUGGCAAAAGGACCUUCUAGAAAGUUCUUUCUCAAAGGGGAACUGACAUUCCUGCCCUACUUUGUUCCAAGAUGGGAGCUGUGGUCUCAGAGGUAGGUGUGGAAAACCCAGAGUGGGGCUGCCUCUGUCUCUGCUCAAGGAUUUCUAGUUUGCUCAUGGAAGGGCUUGGUUUUGUCAGCAGCUGUGGCCUGGAUCGACCCUGUGGUCAGAGAUUGCCCAAAGCCCGCAGGCUGGUGACAGUCAGUGUGUGGCAGGAGCAGGAAAGUGAGCUAUUUCUCAGCUGCCCAUUUCUGGGGCGCCACCUUGGAGCUGGGGGGCGCUGGUACUUGGGGUGAGGCCCAAAGUUGAUUCUGAAGGGUUCUUAAAUGCCGAGCAGCAGGGUGGCAAUGUCCAGCCACACAGACAACCCAGUCUGGUCACGUUUGGCCUACACUCUGGGCCAGGCACACCCGGCCUCAGCCUGCACCUGGCUUGCUUGGACAGUUUCAAGUUCAGGAGCUGAUACUGGUGGUGGCAGCCAGCUUCAUUUUCUUUGAGGCAGUAUAUAAAGUUCAUUGUUUCCCUUAUUCCUGAUGAACAAAACUUUUAAGAUGUAAGAAUACAGUAUUUUGAGUAAUCCACUGUGAGCAUUACAGGCUUUUUUUCAGGAUGAGCAUCUGGAAAAAUAAAUAGGUUUUGUUCUGUUUUGUUUUUCCAGUAACUCAGAUAAAAUGUUAGCACAGUUGGCAGCUUCCUGAAUUAGGCAAAGUAAGUUUUGCAUUUAUGAAAAUGAAACUCAACCAUAAAACAUGGACACAGUCCACUGUUAAUUUUCAGACAUUUUCAUAAUUUGCAAGUACCUUAUUUGCAAAAUUGGUUUUUCGGGAGCUUUAGAGUCCUCAGGGCUGGGUGAGCCGUUCUGAGGAGGCUCCUGGCCCCUCCAUCAGGCGGGUGGACCUGGGCUGUGCCCUGCGCACGGCCAAGGAGGGACGCUGUGGCCCUUGGGCGAAAUGGCGGCUGUGCCUCGAAGACACGUAGCUGCAGCGGAAGCUAAGAGGCUUGAGCACCGAGCCAAGCCUGCCGCCACCACCACCCCCCCGCCCCCUGCGGCCUCUGGCGUCUGGGUCUGGCUGAUCCGAGCAGGCAGGAAAGGUUGGGUUUCAGCGCUUUGUUCUCUGGGCGGCCUGGCCAUUGAUUAAGGCCCGUUGGGCAGGUUAACCAGCCACCCACUUUUUCGCACCGGGAUUGCAUUCCUGGCCAGGCCCCCAACCUCCUCCCAGACGGGGCUGAGCUAGGCGCCCUGGGGGGUGUUUGCUCUACUGGGCAGCCUGGGGCCUCUGGGCCGCUUCGAGCCUUUCCUCGAUUUUCCCAAGCGAGCCUGGUGGAAGGUGCCUCGCCCAGGAGAGGAGCCUGCUGCUCCAGAGAGGAGCCUGUUUUCAGUUUUCAUUUCCCCACUGUGGCUGAGGCUCACACUGUUGUCAUCCCUCCCCUGCCCCCGUGCCAGGAGAAGCCAGGGUCCCCUGCUGAGCUGUGCUCUGGGCAGAGAUGCAUCUCCCAUCCCUGCCUUGGAGUGUGGAGGACUGACACUCCUGCCCUCUGCGCCAGGCCUGUGCUCAUCUAUACUUCUCUCAGCCUACCGCCCAGGCGAGGCUCCUGACUGCCCAGUGGGCAGUGCAUCACCCUGGCCUGUCCCUUGGCUGUAGCCAGACCAGCUUUGGGCCCUAUAGGGUCCCCCAGCCCUCAGGGCUCCCCAAGACGUCCUGCUCCUGAGUGGCCAAGGGCAUUGGAGACACUAGGCCCCCCCGAGCGGUGGGAGGUGGCCUGUCGGCCAAGCAUGCUGGGGAAUGUGCUUGACCCAGCCUGGAGGGUUGGAUGCUGGGCUCUGCCCACGCCCCACUCAGCCCUGCAGCCUCCCCUGUGGCCUGGCCACCAGGCAGAGGAGCUGAAAUUUCACUCAGCUCUGAAAGGGAAGCCUUAGCUCAGAAAACAAGUGAAAUUGCAACCUCAAAGCACAGAUUUGACAGGGUCAGAGGGACAGGUGUGUAACUUGGAAGGAAGGGGGCACAUCCUGUGGUGUCUGCGGGUACAGGGCUACAGGGCAGGGACCCAGGGGUGGCAGGGACUCUGAGCCAGGACAGCCUGUGGAGGUCCAUGUGCCUGAAAUAUGUCCGGCCACACCUGCCGGGCUGAGCCAGGCAAGGGCAGGUGUGCAAAAUGCUGGCCGUGGGGAGUGGGGAAAGACCAGGCCGCCCUGGCCCUUCCUGUGGUCGGCUGGCAGCUGGUGGAAUCAGCGCAGCCUGCACCCCUUAGUAGACACUGCAGGAGGAAGAUGCUUGGACCCUACCCAGCCCCUCUCCAAGCCCAGGCUGCCAUGAGGUAGGAGAGAAAGGAGCAGAGCAGGGUCUGAGAGGUCAGAGUGCCAGGAGACUCUCCCCGGGCAGCUGCCCAGGCCUCUCGGCUCCAGGAGGGGCUGUAGGCUGGUCACUGAGCACAUGGGUGCUUCAGAGCAGCCCUUUCUGAAUAGCCUUGUCCCCAUGGGCCCCUGGGCGGAGGGCUCUGUGUUCUGUGUGGGGCUGCUGUUCACCUGCUCCGGAGCAGGACUCCAGGCCUGGUGCCACUGGGAGAGGGACAGUGAGAGGAGAGCCGUCCUGCCUCUCGAGCUGGGUUGCUUGUGCCUUGCCCAGUGCCCUUCCUGGGCGCUGGAGAAGGGCAGGUGGGGCUGGGCAGGAAGCAGGCUCCAGACAGCGUCCUGGGGCAGAGGCCAGUGGUAUAGCCUGGCCAGCCUCAGACACGGGAGGUGCCAACCUGUGCUCACAAUGGGGCUCUGGGGCCUGGACCACGCCUCUCUCUGGGACCACCCUGAGGGAGGCUCUACCCACCCCUGCUCUCCUUCCUAUUCCUUGGGCCACCAGCCUCUGGGCGGGAUCCCCUGCCUCCCGGAGUGCCCAUCUGGGCCCACACAGUGACACUGGGGCUAGAGGGCAGUUCACUAUGGCCCCAGCCCCCGUGAGGCCUCAGGCACCUGGGACCCUGCCAAGCCCUUGCCCUGUGGGGCUGCCCCCCCGCCCCACCCAGGGCUCAGAGAAGAGACAGCUCCUCUCAGGCACCCGUCAGCCCCCACCCAAGCCCCAGCUGGCGGCCCCCAGACCAAUCUGGGCAGCCGUGGCCAUCUUACUGGGCAGCAUUGGAUGGUGUCUGGUCUCUAAUACUGCCUGGUAAUGAUGACGGCGGAGCCCUGCACGCAGCAACGGGGCCGCCUCCCCUCCGCUCCCACCCCACCCCCACCUGGAGCCCCACAACGCGCCCAUCCCUCCAUCCUGCCCACUGGCUUCUGGGUGGAGCCGCGGGACAGAAACUCGACCCUGGGAAGGAGACUGGAGCACGCCGCGCCCCAGCUCCUCUGAGGAGCACCCCAGCCUCCAGGAUGAAAGGCCUCCUGCAGCUGCUCCACCCCUCCCCCCAGCCAGUGUUCUGGGGAUUAGGACGCUCAGGUAUCCUGGCCCUGCCCAUGGCACCCAGGCAGGUGCUGCCACCACACCUGGCAGGUGUGGGCUGCGGAUACUGCAGCAAAGGGCUCUAAGGGUAAAGGCUCAGCAGGGCCCAUGGGUGGGGGUGGGGCACCCAGGCUGGGCCUUGCUCCCCUCCUGCUCCACCGUGGGGAGGCAGCUGUACCUCCAGCCUUGGUCCCAAGCCAGCACACAAGGUCCCCUGCUAGGGAAAACCAGGGAAGGCAGACAAGCGGCUUCAGGUCUCUGCUGGCCCCAUCCAGUCCAAGCCAUUCACUGCUCUGGGUCACCGGGCUCUGAGCCUAUGGGUGGAAAGCUACACUUCUGUCCCCUGCACCCCGUGCUGGGUGCACCUGGGCAUCUGUGGGCAUCUUAUCGGACAGUGCUGGAUUUCUCGGCUUGACUCUAACACUGUCUGGUAACGAUGUUCAAAGGUGACCCACUGCCCUCGAGAUCCCCCGAGGAUGUGCCAUCCCAAGUUCCUGGAUCCAGACGUAGGCAGGGCAGGGGUCCUGCAAUUCUGGGGGCACUCACCGAGGGGGCACCCCUGCCCAUCAUGCCAAGGCUGGCUAGGCUGGUUCUGCCACAUGAGGGGCCCCAUCCUGGAGCAGCCUCUGCCUACCCUUACCCCCACUCCUCCCAGGCUGGGUUUUGGGCUCAGCUAGUCCUGUAGAGCCAUCAGGCCCAGGACUGUGGGCUGGAGGAGGAGACUUUGGGCCUGUGGCCUCUCAGCAUUCAGGGCUGUGUAAGUGCCCUGUUCUGGGGACUGGGGAGGCCAGUGUGGUUCAGGCACCCUAGCGCCACACACAGAACUGAGGACGUCCCCCACUGUUUCCUGACCAAGGACAAGGAAUCUGCAUUCCCUCUGCCAGCCAAGGCGACCAGGAAAUUUGUCCAAAAUUACAAUCCAGGAGGACCCAGUUUAUUUUUUUGAUCUGAGACCAGGACACAGG